Non-coding RNA from Castor canadensis (American beaver), 417 nucleotides. The record is from RefSeq and is a predicted model, not a curated record. Lineage: Eukaryota; Metazoa; Chordata; Mammalia; Rodentia; Castoridae.
UGAGAACCACAGUCUUCCCUGCUGCUUGGCUCAGGUUAAGAAGGCAACUUCCUGGGGCCCCAAGAGUGCACAGGCUGGCUUCCCCAUACUUCUGUGACACAGAGCAGCCCUCCAAAGACAGCCUGGGAUGGCCUGAAAACUUGUGAUCCUGCUGGCUCAGCCUCGAAAGUGCUGGGAUUGCAGAAGAAUGCUUUUGAAAGAACUGUAAUUGGAUUUCAUCAUCUUUAUCUACCUCUUCUAUUUUGCGUUUUUUAGAACAGGUUGGAAGCGUGGAGUCAGCAGAGGGAUCGUAAGUCUUCACUUCACUGAAAGAGCCAAAGAAUUUCAGAAAAUCUCUAUAACUAUCUGCAAUUCAAGAAAAAAAAUUUUUCUUUGAGAACUGGAAUCUUCACCAAAAGCAUCAUAACGGAUAGCCAA